RNAcentral lists this ribosomal RNA (467 nucleotides) under uncultured bacterium. RNAcentral's name for it is "partial 16S ribosomal RNA". It matches the Rfam family "Bacterial small subunit ribosomal RNA", at positions 329 to 793 of the family's 1533-position model. The record is from RNAcentral.
GACCAGACUCCUACGGGAGGCAGCAGUGAGGAAUAUUGGUCAAUGGGCGGGAGCCUGAACCAGCCAAGUCGCGUGAGGGAAGACGGUCCUACGGAUUGUAAACCUCUUUUGCCGGGGAGCAAAAAGGCCUCGUGAGGCCACAAGUGAGAGUACCCGAAGAAAAAGCAUCGGCUAACUCCGUGCCAGCAGCCGCGGUAAUACGGAGGAUGCGAGCGUUAUCCGGAUUUAUUGGGUUUAAAGGGUGCGUAGGCGGACUGGAAAGUCAGCGGUAAAAUCGAGAGGCUCAACCUCUUUCCGCCGUUGAAACUGUCGGUCUUGAGUGGGCGAGAAGUAUGCGGAAUGCGUGGUGUAGCGGUGAAAUGCAUAGAUAUCGCGCAGAACUCCGAUUGCGAAGGCAGCGUACCGGCGCCGGACUGACGCUGAGGCACGAAAGCGUGGGUAUCGAACAGGAUUAGAUACCCCGGUAC